This is a long non-coding RNA of Cydia splendana, 345 nucleotides long. RefSeq lists it as uncharacterized. NCBI's taxonomy places the organism in Eukaryota, Metazoa, Arthropoda, Insecta, Lepidoptera, Tortricidae. The record is from RefSeq and is a predicted model, not a curated record. The transcript has 2 exons.
GUUUUUUUUAUUUUUAUGAUAUAGGAGGCAAACGAGCAGACGGAUCGCCUGAUGGUAAGCGACUACCGUCGCCCUUGGACACCCGCAACACCAGAGGGGUUGUAGGUGCGUUGCCGGCCUUUAAGAUGGGAGUACGCGCUUUUCUUGAAGGUCGUAUCGGUCCGGAAAUACCGCUGGCGAUAGUUCAUUCCACAGUUUGGCUGUGCGAGGCAGGAAGUUUCUGGAGAAACGCACAGUUGAGGACUGCCAACCAUCCAAGUGAUGAAGAUGGUAAUGUUGUCGCGUAGGGCGAUGGCGAAAAGAAGCGGCAGGGAUUAAUCCGAACAAUUCCUCGGAGCACUCCCC